UCCCUACGGGGGGCAGCAGUCGGGAAUAUUGCGCAAUGGAGGAAACUCUGACGCAGUGACGCCGCGUAUAGGAAGAAGGUUUUCGGAUUGUAAACUAUUGUCGUGAGGGAAGAAAUUGACAGUACCUCAGGAGGAAGCUCCGGCUAACUAUGUGCCAGCAGCCGCGGUAAUACAUAGGGAGCAAGCGUUAUCCGGAUUUAUUGGGUGUAAAGGGAGUGCAGGCGGUUCAAUAAGUCUGAU
Molecule: ribosomal RNA, 240 nt
Filed under: uncultured bacterium
Lineage: Bacteria
Description: partial 16S ribosomal RNA
Rfam family: Bacterial small subunit ribosomal RNA
Source: RNAcentral